Long non-coding RNA from Leopardus geoffroyi (Geoffroy's cat), 6187 nucleotides. RefSeq lists it as uncharacterized. The transcript is spliced from 4 exons. The record is from RefSeq and is a predicted model, not a curated record. NCBI's taxonomy places the organism in Eukaryota, Metazoa, Chordata, Mammalia, Carnivora, Felidae.
GAAACCAUAUGGCUUAAUCCAGAGAGAGAGAAAGGAAAAUAAAUAUGGAGAUGUAGAAUGUAUCAAGAGAAUAGAUUAAAUAUGUCUGCUUAAACAAACAACAACCAGAGAAACCAGACUAGAGGAGGGAAGAGAUAAGAAGAAAAGGAAGGAAGAAUAUAUCUAUAUAAUAAGAAUUGUCUGAGAAUUAAACCAGACAAUGCAACCAUGCUGUUCUGGAGGAGGGGCUGUCUGGUUCAUCGGUGUCAAUCCCACUCUCGUAGAUACACAGUUACCAGGUGCGGAGGGACGUGGUUUGUUGUAGGCGGGUCCUGCUUCUAUUGUGGGCCUGCUGUCGUUCCCUGAAGGUUCCCCACCUGUGGCCCAUUAGGUUGUCCAGGUGGGUCCCUGGAAACAAUCUGCCUCUUUUCCUCCCAGACUCUUGGGUUUCAAAAUUCUUUGGUGUCAACAUGGCUUUGUUUGAGAGACAUGGGAACUUUGGAUCCCCCUACUUCUCCUCCAUGUUGGCCCCUUCCUUCAACCCCUCACUUCUGAGGAACUGCUGCUUAGAUCCUCUGGGGGAGGGUCUAACUGAGCAAUGACCAGGUGCCAGCCUGCCCCCAGGAACGUGGUUGAGACUGCGCUGCUGCUGGUACCCAGAGAUUGCGACUGGGUGCCAGCCCACCCCAGAAAAAGUUCGUGUGAUUUUUUAACAGCAGCAUUUCAGGCAUUAUGGAAAAUCACAACACCAUCUAGUGCCAGGCUUCUUCAUUAACCUCCUUAUUCCAACACCAGUGAAUGUGAUUGUUCUCUGGUGUCUGCUGGGACCUUUGCCUGUGGGGUGGCCUCACAGCCUCUACCAAAUGUCCUCCCUGCAGGGGAAGUGCCACUCCCCAGUGGCCCAUGGACCCCUUGGAGCUUGCUCUCUGCUCCUAGGGAUUUGCCCUUCCCACCAGAGCACCGCCAGGUAUCAACCUGUGGAGUUUCAGACUCUGCGCUCCCUGUGUAUAGUCUUAAUGAAAUUUAAACCCUCUCCUUUCUCCUUUAUCCCUUUUUUGUUGAGUCCUUGUGGCUGUUUCCACUUUUCCACUUUCUCUCCAGAUACUUUUGGGGGGGGGUGCUUUUCCCAUACUCUCCCCUCCCCUGUCUCCAACCUCUCUCCACAAGCAAAACCAGCUCCCUGCCCUCUGUGGCUUCUCUCCCUGCUGGUUCACCUCUCCGUGCCGUGUACCUGCCAAGUUCUGUGGUUCAGGUUGUACAGAUUGCUGUGUUAAUCCUCAGAUCAGUUUUCUAGGUGUGCCAGAUGGUUCAUUGUUGAUCUGGCUGUGUUUCAGGGUUGAGAGACACAAAAAAAGCUUCCAUGCUGUGCCGCCAUCUUGGCCUCUCCUCCAAAAGGAGGUUCUUUACUCUGACAUUGCUAUGGAUGGCUUAGGAGGAAUCAGACACAACUGUAUUUAUGAUAGACUGUGUCUUAGUUACCUCAGUGUCCCGUUGCUCCAAAAGCAAAAGUGGUUCAAAUGGGUAAAAUACUUGGGUUCUUGAUGGUCCAAUGACCGCUUUUUGUCAUGCUAAAAGUUUCUCAGUUGUUGUGUUCUUUUUCAUAUUCCAAGACAAUUUCUGUUCACCAGUUCAUUAAAGGAUAUGAUAAGGACAUCCAGAUAGAAGAGAUGCAUAGGAUGUGGUAUAGGGAAGGAAUGUGGAGCUUCCUUUCUAUCUAGAGAUACUCCAUUCUCCCCAAAUCUCCCUGUGUUCCAAUUUCUGUCUUUUAUGUGUUUUAAUAGCUUGUUAUGUGUCCCACACCUGUGAGUACUACUAUAUUAAAAAGGGGUCAUCCUCUCUCCAGGGCCUAGCACUUCAAGAAGUGUUUUUGGAGUGUGCUGCAUGCACUCUGUUGUGUCUUUGGCUAUUCUAUCCUACUGCUCACAGUGGGGGAUUGUUUGGACCUUUCACCAGGUUUGCUUUGAUUUUUUCAUUGCAGUAACCCUGGAAAAAAGGGAAAAAAGUGUAUGUUGGAGGGGAAGACUUAUCUGGUACAAAGAGAAAAAUGAAAGGAGCGGGGGGGGGGGGGUGGGGAAAUAAAAAAGAAAAACAAGACAGGGAAUCAGGGAAACUAUAAGUCUUAAUCCAGAGAGAGAGACAGAGAGAGAGGAAAAUAAAGAAGAAGGAGAUACAGAAAAUGUGUAAAAAGAAUAGGAUAAAAAUGAUUAAACAAACAACCAGAACAGAGAAAGGGAACAAAAAGGAUAUAUAAUAAUAGGAAUUGACCAAAAAUCAAAUCAUAAACUAUGAGCUUGAUUCCAAAUGAAAGAAAAAAAAAGGAGGGGGCGGGUAGGAAAAAAAAAGGGAAGAGAGAAGAGAUGGAAAGAAAAGAAAAGAGAAAACAACAACAACAACAGACUAACAUACAAAAUAACUGGACAGUUGUCUGUUGGUGCCUGGAACCGGUGGCUGUGCUCGUCUGGAGAAGAGGCCGUAUGAUUCCAUCAGUGUCCAUCUCACUCCAGUAGAUAAGCAGUUACCAGCAUGGAGGGGUGGCAUUUGGGGAAGAGGUCCCUGGGCUGACUCUUCUCCUCUGCAGGCACUCGCACAUGGUCGGCUCCAGUGUGAAGAAAGUCACCCAACUCUGAUAACUCUAAUCUGUAGCUCCUAAGGCUGUUUGCAAAGUAGAAACUGGCUUUUUUGGUAUCUUUGUAUUUUUCAUUCCCCAGUCUGUGGUCCAGAGAGGUUUUUCUCUUACCCAAAUACAAUACCACACUUCUACAGCCUCCCUUCUCUUCCUUUUAUUUCUCCACCAACAGCAUUCCCCCACUCCAUGACUAUGCUGCUCUUUCUAUCUCUCCCAAUUCACAAACACGCAACUUGUCCUGCCAAGUUGUCUCUUUCCACCUGUGGAAAUUUUUUUGUCACUCUGCAGCCUCUAUGCCUGGGUAUUCCAAGCAUUCUGACCUCAAUACAGCUGUGGGGACAAGGGGAAUUCCGGUUCCCCUACUUCUCCACCAUCUUAACUCCACUCAGCAAAAUACAGUUUUAUUUUAUAGAGAUUUAAUUUUGGAUAUACUAUAUGGACAUUAUUUAGAGGUACUGUAUGCAGGCUUAGAUGAUUCCCAAUGUGUAGUACAUUUUUUCUGGGUCUUGGAGUCAAACUAAUUGAAAAAGCAAACAAGAAUAAGGAAGAUAAAAACCAAAACAUCACCUCUAGUAAAAAGCUGAUACAGGAGAACACAAUUUGUAUCAAUGGGCAAGUGGCAUUUCUAAUGGUGAACCGAAGAAUUAGAUAGGCAUUCCCACUCAACAGACUGAAAUGGGGCAGGGCUCUCCCCUAGAGAGGAGCAAAGCCUCUCUAGGAAAACAAACAAACAAACAAACAAACAAACAAACAAACAGAAUAUUUUAUCAGCAUGUAAAUCAUUCACAAGGGAAAGAGGAGUGUGUCCAAUAUUUCUUCCCAAACAUCAAGAAGAUGUUAUCCACUUUCUCUAGUGAGUGAAGUGGUAGUGUUCUGUAAAUGUGAAACCAAAGUGUUCUGUAAAUGUAGCUAUUCCUCAGGAAAAGAAACAAGUAGAGAAAAACCAUCUACAUGCUUUUUGGUAUUUUAGAAGGGGAAUAAGUAUUUUGUAUUAAAAUCAACAAGUUUAAAGGAAAAAAGAAAAAAAGGAAAAGAAUAUGAAAACAUAGCUUCUUAAUUACAGUUUCUAUCUAUAUAUUUUCAUUAUUCUUUGCUAGUGACAUUUUAAUAGAAUUUGAGAACUUUCUAUAGUGGUUAACUUGCUUUGGAAUUCCUUUGCCUGCCUAAUGAUUAUUUUUGGUCUUCUUUUCCUCCUACAAUUAUGCAUUAAGAAGAGCAUUCUGCAAUUUUACAAUUUUAGGGUCCACAAUUCUUCCAUUAAAACUUUUUGUUGCUGUUGUUAACUAAUCUUAAAAAAUAACAUGUUUGUCAUUCGAAGGAGAUUCUAAUUUCACUACAGUAAAUAUUAAAAAAAAAAAGGCUUACUGAGGAAUGUUAUAAACACAUAUUGUAGACAUUUCAUUAUUCCACAGGCAGUUAUGCUUUGACUAGCACAUCUGGACUGGGUGGCCACAGAAAGUACUACAGCAAAAAGGGAGCGGCCCCCACUCCCACAAUGUCACAUAAAUAUGGAGAGGGAAUAGGAAGUGACUUUGUUAGAAAAGAUGGCUUCUAGGGGUGCCUGGGUGGCUCAGUCAGUUAAGUAUCCGACUUGGUCUCAGGUCAUGAUCUCGCAGUUCAUGAGUUCGAACCUCGCAUCGGGCUCUGUACUGACAACUCAGAGUCUGGAGCCUACUUCAGAUUCUGUUUCUCUCUCUGCCCCUCCCCCACUCAGGAUCUGUCUCUCUCUGUCCGUCUUUCACUCAAAAAAUAAAUAAAACAUUAAAAAAGAAAAGAAAAGAUGGCUUCUAGUCCAGCUUCUACUACUACUCUUCUCCCAUUGAGGUCAGUGAGACCUGUGGUGUCAGCUUCUUGGUAUGCAACCAAAAGAGAAAAGGAAAUGAGUUUUCAAAGAAAAUUGAAUUUAUCUCUUUUCACUGCCCCAAAGAUUUAGUAGAUGUUAAUGGCUUAAUAUAGUUUUUAUUAACUGAAUUAAUUUUUUAACGAAAAGAAUUUAAAUAAUUAUUUAAAAAUAUGGAGAUAUGGUGUCUUAACUCAGAGGUGUGAGUUAUUGACAUCAUAAUGGGGAAGAUAUGUAAGUAGGCUCUUGGUAAGUCUUCCAACCACUGUCAGUAACUGCCUACUAUUUCAUUUUCCACUGUUACAUGUCAACAUUUUCUUACUAUUUUUAACAACACCAUUUUUUAAUAGCACCAUUUUUAUAAAAUAUACAAUAUUGAAAAUAAGUGGAAUAUAACCCACAAGUAGUGUAAAUACUUUAAUAUUUAGUUUUCUGCUAUAAUAAUGCCACAUAAUCAACAAUUUCAAAAUCUCAGUAAUUUAAAGUAACAAAUGAUUAUGGUUUUUGCUCCCAAGUCUGCAGGUUAUUUGGGGUAGCCUCUCCUUCAUGCUGUGGUUUACCUGAGCUUGACUCCUGGCUGUGGGGAUGAAGUCACAUCUGAUCCAUUUUCUUCAAUCAGUGGCUACUCAAGAAACCACCUGGAGGCCAUGUUUCACCCAUUCUGUGAAGGCACAGCUGACCUCAUAUCUCAUCUCCAGGGGUCUAUGUGGUAGGGAACUGAAGCCUCCUGUCAACAUCUAUGUGAGUGAGUAAAACUGGAAAGCAGAUCCUUUAUCCCUAAAUGACUGCAAUACUGGUCAACAGCUUGACUACAGCCUAUGAGAUGCCUGAGAUAGAACUUUCCUGUUAAGCUUCAUCAGAAUCUUGACCCUCAGAAACUGUGUGAGGAUUCUUGCCCCUUCUCUCCAUGAAGAAUUCCAGUCUGCAUCCACAAAAGGUAUUUCCUCCUUCCUUACCCUACCACUAGAUUUAGUCUUCCUCUGUUGGCACUUUUAGCAUGCUUUGCAUAUUCCUAGUAUCCAACAUUUGUUACAUUAUUUUGUCACUUUUUGCUUCAUUUGCUUCAUGAAAUCUUGAAGGACUGUGAAAUCUUGGAGGAUGGGGAUUUUUAUCUUGUUUAUAUUUGUAUACCUAGUACUUGUAACUGAGAGAGAAUCAAUCUUCUUGCACAGAAUCUAUACCAACAUGGAAACAUAAUUCAAUAUGUUUUUUGAGUUACUAAAUGGAAAUUAUGAUUUCUAUAAUGCUAGUGAACAACUCAGAUUUUACUGAAGAUUAAGUGGGAAAGUAGAGGUUACAUAAUAUUAGUAUGUAUCAAUUUUUCUCCAAAAAUCUUCACUAGCCAUCUCUUCCCAGAGUACCUUCUUAGUUAACCUUUCUUAACCUUUUCCCUAAUCUCUCUCCAAACCUUCCUGUCUCCAACCUUCUAUGCUAUUGAUAUGUCUCUUUUUUUUUAUAAUAGUGAACAAUUUAGCUCGAAGUUUUCUUCUUUACUACUAUAUCCUAAUAUUCACUAUGCCACCUCAGCAUCUUUUAAAUCUAUGUGUUUUAAAUAAAGAGCAGAUUACCCUUACUACAAGGAUUUUCUUUUUUAAAAAUAUUUUCCCUCCACUUCUAAUAGAUAAUAAAAGUGCUUGUUCAAAGUAUGAAUGAUUGGGGCACCUGGGUGGCUCAAUGGGUCAAGCAGCUCACUCUUUAUUUUGGCUCAGAUCAUGAUCUCAGGGUCUUGAGAUGAAGCCCCU